This 494-nucleotide ribosomal RNA is filed under the name uncultured bacterium. RNAcentral describes it as "partial 16S ribosomal RNA". It matches the Rfam family "Bacterial small subunit ribosomal RNA", at positions 28 to 507 of the family's 1533-position model. The record is from RNAcentral.
GACGAACGCUGGCGGCGUGCUUAACACAUGCAAGUCGAACGGAAAGGACUGUGCUUCCUUGUGUUGAACGGGUACUCGAGUGGCGAACGGAGGAGUAACACGUGAGUGAUCUGCCCCCAACUUGGGUAUAAGCCUGGGAAACUGGUUCUAAUUCCCGAUAGGACUGCAGGGUGGUGCCGGUUGUGGAUAACGUUUUUCUAGUGGUUGGGGAUGAGCUCGCGGCCUAUCAGCUUGUUGGUGGGGUAAUGACCUACCAAGGCGGCGACGGGUAGCCGGCCUGGGAGGGUGGACGGCCACAUUGGGACUGAGAUACGGCCUAGACUCCUACGGCAGGCAGCAGCGGGGAAUCUUGCACAAUGGGCGGAAGCCUGAUGCAGCGACGCGGCGUGGGGGAUGACGGCCUUCGGGUGGUAAACUCCUUUAGAUCGCGAGGAAGCCGCCUGGUUGGAAGGGUGGUGACGGUAGUGGUAGAAGAAGCACCGGCUAACUACGUG